RNAcentral lists this long non-coding RNA (312 nucleotides) under Elaeis guineensis (African oil palm). RNAcentral describes it as "long non-coding RNA (EGUI_LNC000260)". The record is from RNAcentral. Lineage: Eukaryota; Viridiplantae; Streptophyta; Magnoliopsida; Arecales; Arecaceae.
UCAUGGAUUUGAUAAGAUAAAACCAACAUUCUAGUUGUGAAUAUGGAACAAAUGAUGUACCAUAAUAUUUUGAAUUAUUAUUAUUAUAUAUCUAUUAUUAUUAUCAUGAAAGUUCACUUGCAAGUGCUGGUACUGCUAACUUUUUCCUCAGAAAAACCGGAAAGCAAUAUUUUAAACAGAUAAAACAAGGAGGAUAGGGACCAUGGUCCAAAAUGGGUGGUCGUAGCUUGUUUAUUAUAUUCGCUUGUCAUGGCUUUCUGCAUCACGGAUGGGUCACCAUUUUUUUUUUUUGGUAAAAACGGAUGGGUCACC